RNAcentral lists this long non-coding RNA (241 nucleotides) under Phoenix dactylifera (date palm). Its description in RNAcentral is "long non-coding RNA (PDAC_LNC018662)". The record is from RNAcentral. Lineage: Eukaryota; Viridiplantae; Streptophyta; Magnoliopsida; Arecales; Arecaceae.
CUACUAGCAUUCCACACGGGGGCCUUUACAACCUUAAUACUCAGGAUGAUAUUCAAGCUAAAAUGGCAGCCCUUACUCGGAAGGUAGAGGAAAUUGAACUUAGAAGGAUUGAACCCGUCAAGACCGUAGAACAUAACAGCGAGUGUUGUAGGAUUUGCGAGAUGCCUGGCCAUCUCAUCACUGAUUGCCCCACAAUACCCGCAUUCAAGGAAGUCUUGCACGAUCAGGCCAAUGUUAUGAA